CCCCGUCCUGGGCGCAGCCUGAUCCAGCCAUGCCGCGUGAGUGAUGAAGGCCCUAGGGUUGUAAAGCUCUUUUGUGCGGGAAGAUAAUGACGGUACCGCAAGAAUAAGCCCCGGCUAACUUCGUGCCAGCAGCCGCGGUAAU
RNAcentral lists this ribosomal RNA (142 nucleotides) under uncultured Bradyrhizobium sp. Its description in RNAcentral is "partial 16S ribosomal RNA". It matches the Rfam family "Bacterial small subunit ribosomal RNA", at positions 363 to 524 of the family's 1533-position model. The record is from RNAcentral. Lineage: Bacteria; Pseudomonadati; Pseudomonadota; Alphaproteobacteria; Hyphomicrobiales; Nitrobacteraceae.